Molecule: ribosomal RNA, 253 nt
Filed under: uncultured bacterium
Lineage: Bacteria
Description: partial 16S ribosomal RNA
Rfam family: Bacterial small subunit ribosomal RNA
Source: RNAcentral
UACGUAGGUGGCAAGCGUUAUCCGGAUUUAUUGGGUGUAAAGGGCGUGUAGGCGGGAGCGCAAAUCAGAUGUGAAAACUCAGGGCUCAACCCUGAGCCUGCAUUUGAAACUGUGUUUCUUGAGUGCUGGAGAGGCAAUCGGAAUUCCGUGUGUAGCGGUGAAAUGCGUAGAUAUACGGAGGAACACCAGUGGCGAAGGCGGAUUGCUGGACAGUAACUGACGCUGAGGCGCGAAAGCGUGGGGAGCAAACAGG